CUUGAUGGAGCCCAGCCACAGCGGCCGGUCGUCGGUGCGUUGCCCGCCGUACGUGGCCAGGAGGGCCUGGGCCUC
This 75-nucleotide antisense RNA is filed under the name Streptomyces bingchenggensis BCW-1. RNAcentral's name for it is "ASpks TB sRNA". It matches the Rfam family "ASpks TB sRNA". Lineage: Bacteria; Bacillati; Actinomycetota; Actinomycetes; Kitasatosporales; Streptomycetaceae. The record is from Rfam by way of RNAcentral.